GCGGCCGUAGCUCAGUUGGUAGAGCGUCAGCUUCCCAAGCUGAAUGUCGUGAGUUCGAGUCUCAUCGGCCGCUCCA
RNAcentral lists this transfer RNA (76 nucleotides) under Planctomycetota bacterium. RNAcentral describes it as "tRNA-Gly". It matches the Rfam family "tRNA". Rfam says of the family: Transfer RNA (tRNA) molecules are approximately 80 nucleotides in length. Their secondary structure includes four short double-helical elements and three loops (D, anti-codon, and T loops). Lineage: Bacteria; Pseudomonadati; Planctomycetota. The record is from RNAcentral.